Molecule: ribosomal RNA, 253 nt
Filed under: uncultured bacterium
Lineage: Bacteria
Description: partial 16S ribosomal RNA
Rfam family: Bacterial small subunit ribosomal RNA
Source: RNAcentral
GACGGGGGGGGCAAGUGUUCUUCGGAAUUACUGGGCGUAAAGCGCGUGUAGGCGGCUCUGCAAGUCGGGUGUGAAAUCCCACGGCUCAACCAUGGAAGUGCACUCGAAACUGCAGGGCUAGAGUCCUGGAGAGGAAUGUGGAAUGCUUGGUGUAGAGGUGAAAUUCGUAGAUAUCAAGCGGAACACCGGUGGCGAAGGCGGCCUUCUGGACAGUGACUGACGCUGAGAGGCGAAAGCGUGGGGAGCAAACAGG